CUGGUGAGUAACACGUGGGUGACAUACCCUUCAGAUGGGGAUAGCUAUUAGAAAUAGUAGAUAAUACCGAAUACGAGCACAGGGGUUAGAGAUCUGUGAGGAAAGGAGCUAAGGCUCCGCUGAAGGAAUGGCCUGCGGCCCAUUAGCUAGUUGGUGAGGUAAGAGCCCACCAAGGCGAUGAUGGGUAUCCGGCCUUAGAGGGUGAACGGACACAUUGGGACUGAGAUACGGCCCAGACUCCUACGGGAGGCAGCAGCUAAGAAUAUUCCGCAAUGGACGAAAGUCUGACGGAGCGACGCCGCGUGGAUGAAGAAGGCCGGAAGGUUGUAAAAAUCCUUUUGAAACUGAAGAAUAAGCGUUGUAGGGAAUGACAGCGUGGUGACAGUAGGUUUUGAAUAAGCAACGGCUAAUUACGUGCCAGCAGCCGC
RNAcentral lists this ribosomal RNA (428 nucleotides) under uncultured bacterium. RNAcentral describes it as "bacterial SSU rRNA". It matches the Rfam family "Bacterial small subunit ribosomal RNA", at positions 103 to 518 of the family's 1533-position model. The record is from RNAcentral.